Molecule: small nucleolar RNA, 104 nt
Organism: Heterocephalus glaber (naked mole-rat)
Lineage: Eukaryota; Metazoa; Chordata; Mammalia; Rodentia; Bathyergidae
Source: Ensembl
AUUCUUUUGUAAUUCUUAAGUGUGACUGUUGGGUGUUCAUGCCAUUGUAUGACGUGUUCCUCCCUCGAAUCUGUUUAUGGUAUGGACACAUUACUGGUAUAAUG